GUACUGCUGAAGAGUCCCAAACCAGGACAAAACAGCUGUCCAGUAC
Non-coding RNA from Trichobilharzia regenti, 46 nucleotides. The record is from Rfam. Lineage: Eukaryota; Metazoa; Platyhelminthes; Trematoda; Strigeidida; Schistosomatidae.